UGUCGGUAUUUGAUGCCAAUACCCAAGCAUUAUACUGUAUAUAAGAAACAUGAUUAUAAUUGCAAAACUGCUUGGGAAGCCAAUUUAUGUUUUAUUGUCACUCUUUAUCUGUUGUGACAGGCAGACAAUUGUAUGUUUUAAUUUUCCUGUUUUAAUUAAUGAUCUCGUUCUUUUUUUUUUGCAGGGUCUGGGGUGUUUGCCAUAGGUUCAUUCUCCAAAGGAGUUUUAUAGUGGAAUACAGGGGAGAUUUGAUAAGCGAUGGUGAAGCUCAAAAGAGAAGAAGAAUUUACAACCCUGCAUGUUCUGGAUUUUUGUUCGCGUUCAAGUGGGGAGGCAAAACAUGGUGCAUUGACGCCUCGAGAGAAGAUGGUUCUUUCGGCCGCUUGGUGAACGAUGACCACAGACAUGCCAAUUGCAAGAUGAAGAGAAUAGACAUUGCAGGAAGCACACACCUCUUGUCUUUUUGCUCUCAAAGACAUAAAAGAAGGUGGAGAAAUUGCAUAUAAUUAUGGAGGAGAGGACUGCCCAGGGCGAAAGCAGAUGACUACAUGUGAACCUGACACGCCCUGUGUGAGCUCCCAGCAUGUGCUCAUGUCAGAGCCACAGUGGGAUGAAGCUGCCUGGUAAGAGGACACUGGUCAACAGAAGAGGAAACUGUUGGAGCAACGGAGGGGAAUAAAAUCCCAGCAAAACAGAGACGCAAACUGCCACCAGCAGAAGAUGGAGCAUCUUCUACAGUCUGUGCUGUG
Long non-coding RNA from Gadus macrocephalus (Pacific cod), 749 nucleotides. RefSeq lists it as uncharacterized. The record is from RefSeq and is a predicted model, not a curated record. The transcript is spliced from 4 exons. Lineage: Eukaryota; Metazoa; Chordata; Actinopteri; Gadiformes; Gadidae.